UACGUAGGGUGCAAGCGUUGUCCGGAAUCAUUGGGCGUAAAGAGCGUGUAGGCGGCUCGGUAAGUCCGCUGUGAAAGUCCAGGGCUCAACCCUGGAAUGCCGGUGGAAACUGUCGAGCUCGAGUCCGGAAGAGGCGAGUGGAAUUCCUGGUGUAGCGGUGAAAUGCGCAGAUAUCAGGAGGAACACCAAUGGCGAAGGCAGCUCGCUGGGACGGUACUGACGCUGAGACGCGAAAGCGUGGGGAGCAAACAGG
Molecule: ribosomal RNA, 253 nt
Filed under: uncultured bacterium
Lineage: Bacteria
Description: partial 16S ribosomal RNA
Rfam family: Bacterial small subunit ribosomal RNA
Source: RNAcentral